This is a long non-coding RNA of Cyprinus carpio carpio, 795 nucleotides long. The record is from Ensembl. Lineage: Eukaryota; Metazoa; Chordata; Actinopteri; Cypriniformes; Cyprinidae.
GAUAUCUCAGAUCCAGUGUUGAUGUCUUGCAUAAGAAAGCUACAUCAUACUAAGAAAGAAACAUCAGCUUGGCCCAACUGAAAGACAAUCUGACAACCAGACUGGUUUAAGUGGCUUUUUGCAGCAGGGAAAAGAACAAUUUAACAAAAUAUUAAAUUCCAGCAACCCCUGGGAGUUUGGACCCUGGCACAGGCUCAUGGAGAUGCUGGUUGAGGGGGCUUGGCAGAACAGCAAGGUCAGCAGAUCUGUCGUGCCGCAGUGGCUCGGAGGACUCAGCCCAUUCCCACCUCUGGCCAGUAAUCCGCCCCAGCAUCCGCCACAGUCCAACCAGACACAUCCGCAGCUGUGCCAAACUAUUCUAACAUAUCCAGCAAGUGAGAAAUGCAAUGCAUUCAGUUUUAAUGCAUUCAGUUUUAAUGCAUUAAGUUCCUCUUUUAAGGAAUGAAAGCAAAAUAAAAUAUAGCAAAGAUGUUUUAUUGAUGUCUUCCCUUGGUCUUUUGAAUAGCAUUCCUAUCGACUGUGUAUAUCACUAGGUAAUGUUUGUUGAGCUUCAAUGAUAAUUUAGUUAGAUCAAAAAACUGUGAAUAACUUUACUUUUGACUAAAUUCCCAUCUGUGGAUUUCUUUAUAGAGCUGUUCUGAAGGAGCUGUUCUUUUGCCAUCAUUUACUGAUAUUCUUGCAAGUUUCUAACUUUCAAACCAGACUUUAGAUAUUGCACAGAACAGAUUGAAGCAGCAAGGUCAGUUGAGGUAAAUGUGUUGACUUCAGAGUGCACAACCCCCCCACCCCACCCCA